RNAcentral lists this ribosomal RNA (457 nucleotides) under uncultured bacterium. RNAcentral's name for it is "bacterial SSU rRNA". It matches the Rfam family "Bacterial small subunit ribosomal RNA", at positions 1074 to 1533 of the family's 1533-position model. The record is from RNAcentral.
GUUGGGUUAAGUCCCGCAACGAGCGCAACCCCUAUCUUCAGUUGCCAUCAUUCAGUUGGGCACUCUGAAGAAACUGCCGGUGACAAGCCGGAGGAAGGCGGGGAUGACGUCAAGUCCUCAUGGCCCUUACGGGUUGGGCUACACACGUGCUACAAUGGUGGUGACAAUGGGGAGCGAGGCCGCGAGGCCAAGCCAAUCUCAAAAAGCCAUCUCAGUUCGGAUUGCACUCUGCAACUCGAGUGCAUGAAGUUGGAAUCGCUAGUAAUCGCGCAUCAGCAUGGCGCGGUGAAUACGUUCCCGGGCCUUGUACACACCGCCCGUCACACCAUGGGAGUUGGUUUUACCCGAAGCCGGUGCGCGAACCGCAAGGACGCAGCCGACCACGGUAAGGUCAGCGACUGGGGUGAAGUCGUAGCAAGGUAGCCGUAGGGGAACCUGCGGCUGGAUCACCUCCUUU